RNAcentral lists this ribosomal RNA (492 nucleotides) under uncultured bacterium. Its description in RNAcentral is "partial 16S ribosomal RNA". It matches the Rfam family "Bacterial small subunit ribosomal RNA", at positions 28 to 505 of the family's 1533-position model. The record is from RNAcentral.
GACGAACGCUGGCGGCGUGCUUAACACAUGCAAGUCGAACGGUGAAGCGCCUUCCUUUUUGGUGGGUGUGGAUGAGUGGCGAACGGGUGAGUAACACGUGAGUAACCUGCCCCCUUCUUCUGGAUAACCGCAUGAGAGUGUGGCUAAUACGGGAUAUUCUGGGUCUGUCGCAUGAUGGGUCUGGGAAAGAUAUUGUUUCGGUGGGGGAUGGGCUCGCGGCCUAUCAGCUUGUUGGUGGGGUGAUGGCCUACCAAGGCGGUGACGGGUAGCCGGCCUGAGAGGGUGGACGGUCACACUGGGACUGAGACACGGCCCAGACUCCUACGGGAGGCAGCAGUGGGGAAUAUUGCACAAUGGGCGCAAGCCUGAUGCAGCGACGCCGCGUGAGGGAUGGAGGCCUUCGGGUUGUGAACCUCUUUCGCCAGUGAAGCAGGCCUGCCUCGUUUGUGGGUGGGUUGACGGUAGCUGGAUAAGAAGCGCCGGCUAACUACG